AUGGAGGUUGAUAGCCAAACAACCGUAAGUCGUCGAUCCAGACAUAGAAGUUUUGUAUGGGAUUAUUUUACAAAGAUCAAAGUUAAUGGAAAAGAUAAGGCUCGAUGUAAUUAUUGCUCAAAGCAGCUUAAUGGAUCCUCAAAUGAUGGGACGACACAUUUAAAAGGACAUUUGGGAUCUUGUCUCAAAAAUAAGCUUUUGAAAUCAUCUGAUAAGGGACAGACAUUUCUUACGCCUAGAACCAUGCAAGGUAAACAAGAGUUGAGUACUGGAACUUAUGAUGCAGAAAAUUCUAAGAAAGAGCUUGCACAUGCAAUUAUUUUGCAUGAAUAUUUGCUUUUAAUAAGAUAUUCAAAGUAUACAAUAUGGAGAGAUCAUCAACUUUGA
This is a non-coding RNA of Vicia faba (fava bean), 387 nucleotides long. Lineage: Eukaryota; Viridiplantae; Streptophyta; Magnoliopsida; Fabales; Fabaceae. The record is from the annotation of a GenBank genome assembly.